AGGACUAUACUUUCAGGGAUCAUUUAUGUAGUUUGUUACUAGAGAAGUUUCUCUGAUUGUGUAGAGCACCCAAGCCACAAGGAGGGCCAGAGCAUCCUCUCCCGAGUGUGGAGCUGGUUCUAGGUGCUGCUUUUGGAACUGCCCUUUACCACUGAUGAUCGUUCUUCUCUUCCUUUGGAAGAGGUAGAGGAGGAGGAUGCUGUCUGAGUGGU
Sorex fumeus (smoky shrew) is the source of this 212-nucleotide small nucleolar RNA. RefSeq annotates it as small nucleolar RNA U3. The transcript has a single exon. The record is from RefSeq and is a predicted model, not a curated record. NCBI's taxonomy places the organism in Eukaryota, Metazoa, Chordata, Mammalia, Eulipotyphla, Soricidae.